Molecule: long non-coding RNA, 313 nt
Organism: Thalassophryne amazonica
Lineage: Eukaryota; Metazoa; Chordata; Actinopteri; Batrachoidiformes; Batrachoididae
Exons: 3
Source: RefSeq, a predicted model, not a curated record
GUCAGACAUGUCCAGAGCGUCAGACAUCCAUCCCUAUUUAUUUGAGGGUGCCUUUUGUGGACAUGCAGAUGCCUUCUUUUUUUCAGGAAAAUAAAUGACAGAUGACCUCCCUACAACUCCUCAUAUUAUGAAAUCUCACAGACCAGCCCAGUUUUUACCCCAAUCUUUCUGGGAGCAGAACUGCAAGAUUGUCUACAUGGUCCGUAAUGCCAAGGACAGUGCAGUGUCCUAUUUCCACUUUUGUCGCAUGAAUCAUGGGCAGCCAGAACCAGGCGACUGGAACACCUUUCUAAACAGUUUUGUGAAGGGAAAA